Aethalodelphis obliquidens (Pacific white-sided dolphin) is the source of this 186-nucleotide long non-coding RNA. RefSeq lists it as uncharacterized. The transcript is spliced from 3 exons. The record is from RefSeq and is a predicted model, not a curated record. NCBI's taxonomy places the organism in Eukaryota, Metazoa, Chordata, Mammalia, Artiodactyla, Delphinidae.
UUUUGUCUCUUGGUAUAUGCUGAGCCAAAAGACACAACCAAGCCAAAGAUGAAGAGAAGGAAGGUGUGAUUACUUGCAGCAAGUGAGGAGAACACAGGGGAUCUUUCCCAAAGCAGUGUCUCCCCAAUAGCAAAACUGGGGAAGUUUUAAGCUGAGGGUACACGCAUAUUCAUGAAGGGGCUCGAG